Molecule: long non-coding RNA, 2164 nt
Filed under: Panax ginseng (ginseng)
Lineage: Eukaryota; Viridiplantae; Streptophyta; Magnoliopsida; Apiales; Araliaceae
Description: long non-coding RNA (PGIN_LNC011633)
Source: RNAcentral
AAAGAGAAAAAUUCAGACUAUCAAGAAAAAAGGUAUCAAUAUGAUCUUAUCCCCUGACGCCCAAAUUCGACCAUAUAUUUAGUGCACUUUAAGCUUAUCUAAUUUAGAAAUUCUCUAGAAUUUAUUCUCUUGUAUUUUUGCAUUCUCUUUGCAUCAUUCCAUUGGAUUGUUAACUGACGACCCAAAAGUACAUUGUUUCACCUUAUCAAGGCGUUGCAUGUAGUAAAUACCAUCCCCCUUCACAAUUACUCUCUCCGUUCCAAAAUUAGAGUUACAUUUCUUUUUUUGUCCAUUCCAAAAUAAGAGAUACAUUUCUAUUUUUAGACCAUAAAGUGACAUGAAGUUCCAAACAUGUCAUUACUUUUAUUAUUAGUUGAUUGAGUACUGAAAAUUUAUUUUUUUUUCUUAGAAGUCGUUGUUUUACAAUUAUCUCUUAUUUGUGGAACAGAUGGAGUACUUCAUUUUGCAAUAAUAUGCCAUUGGACAUUGUGGCUUUUAUUAUUAUCUACAUUUAUCAAAAAAAUUAUUAUUUGCACUAUAUUCUGAUUUUUUUCCUCUAAAAGCUGAGAUCAGAGUUCUUUAAACUAACUUAUUCUGAAAGUUCACGGGAAAUCGUUGAAUGAAGGGCCUCAUAAUGAGUUAGAACAGGUCAAUGUGUCAUUCCAAUAAGUUGAUAUUGGAAACAAGGUCUUGUACCUGCAGAAAGCCGAAAGUGAUACAUGAGACAGGUCAGGUGCAUACUUUCUGCUGAAGGUCAGGCCGCGCCAGGAUAGUUGAACUUUCCCUGUUUAAUAUAUACACGCAUAUUUGACAAUCUCAAUAAUUAAAUAUGCAUCAUUGCUUGUACAUGAGCAUUUUGGAUAAUCGUGUUCUAAAAAUUGGUAGGCGUCAGCAGAAGAGGCGCCUAGCGCCUAUCAUAGGCAGAUUAAGUGUUUUCUAACGUGAUCUCAUUUAUUUAUUUUGUAUUGUAUAUACUUGAUAUAAUAUACAAAGCAUACAAUGAAUGUAAUUAUUUAAAAUUUUACAUGAAAAUUAUGCAUAAAAACACUCUUUUAAAGCUUAACAGAUGAUUUCAAGUAGUGUAGAGCUUCAAAGACUUUAUUAAACCGAUGCAGUAGAUGUUUGAUUUCUGGUUAGGGGGAGGGGGGGGAGGGGGGGUUAGGCGUUGAGGCGAUAGAGGACCUCCUAGAGCUUAGGUGAGGAUUAAGCGGACUUAGGUGGGGAUUUUUAAAAUACUAUUGAAUAACAAUCUGUCUAAAAGAAUUUUUUGUUAUACAUAUUUAAACUUUUUACUGAUGAAGUAUGUAUAAUUUGUAUAUGGGCUUCAUAGCUUGUUUACAAGGAUUCUAUAUCAUUCUAACUACUUUUCAGUUGGGUGCUUUUUGCAACUGUUAUCGUCCAUUCUUAGUGACUUGUACGUGCGGACAAAUUCAAGCAUUAACAGUUGCAUCUCUGCUCGGGGGCGAAUCAACACAAUUUUAAAGGUCAUUAUCAACGUUCGAAAAAGUGUUCGAGGCGCGCGCCUCAUAGCGAGGUGGUCGCUUCACUGGGAACUAACGAGUCUUACGCCUUAUUUGGCUGAGGCUUACGCCUCAGGGCGUUGCGCCUCGAGGCGUGAACCUUGAUUUGGCUUAAAAAAAGCCUAAGUAUAAUAUCAAAUCAAUCGAAGGCUCGCGAGACCUCACCAGGUAAGUACCGAGUACCGACUGCAGUUCUUCCGUCAAUUGAAGGUUUCGUGCAAGGCGACGUUGACUACACCAGGUUUUUUCUUCUUCCUCUCCUCUUCUUCUUCCUCUUCUUCCGUCUUCUUCUUCUUAUUCUGACUCUAUCUUCUUCUUCUUUUUUAAUUUAUGUAAUUUUUGGGGGUCUAAAUAUUGUUACCCAGUGACUUUUUUUGUCAUGUACCUUCAUCGAUUAAACAUGUAUAUGGUUUACAUUGGUGCAAUUUGUAAGUCGGACCAAACUGGAAUCAAGACCAAUUUUUUUUGGGUAUAUUAUACUGGUGAUUGUGUCAUGGUGUCCUGUACCUUCAACAAUUUUUUUUUGUAUCUCUUUACAAAUUACAAUCAUAAGGAGGAUAUUGUGCAAUUUGUAUAUUUUGUAACAUUCCAUUUAGUUUAUGAACUUGUGUUCAUCAUCGAGUAUUCCAGUGUUUGAAGGUGAA